GCGCGAGUGGUGAAAUUGGCAGACACGCUAGAUUUAGGCUCUAGUGCUUUACGGCGUAAGGGUUCAAGUCCCUUCCCGCGCACCA
This 85-nucleotide transfer RNA is filed under the name Mycoplasmopsis pullorum. RNAcentral describes it as "Mycoplasma pullorum tRNA-Leu". It matches the Rfam family "tRNA". Rfam says of the family: Transfer RNA (tRNA) molecules are approximately 80 nucleotides in length. Their secondary structure includes four short double-helical elements and three loops (D, anti-codon, and T loops). Further hydrogen bonds mediate the characteristic L-shaped molecular structure. tRNAs have two regions of fundamental functional importance: the anti-codon, which is responsible for specific mRNA codon recognition, and the 3' end, to which the tRNAs corresponding amino acid is attached (by aminoacyl-tRNA synthetases). tRNAs cope with the degeneracy of the genetic code in two manners: having more than one tRNA (with a specific anti-codon) for a particular amino acid; and 'wobble' base-pairing, i.e. permitting non-standard base-pairing at the 3rd anti-codon position. Lineage: Bacteria; Bacillati; Mycoplasmatota; Mycoplasmoidales; Metamycoplasmataceae. The record is from RNAcentral.